This 202-nucleotide long non-coding RNA is filed under the name Malus domestica (apple). RNAcentral's name for it is "long non-coding RNA (MDOM_LNC017600)". The record is from RNAcentral. Lineage: Eukaryota; Viridiplantae; Streptophyta; Magnoliopsida; Rosales; Rosaceae.
GGGUAGGUGAGGGACUUGACAGAGUUCCCUCAGAGGGGAUUGGCGACAGUGUGGAAACUACCACCAUACAAUGUACAAGCGCCGAAGUAGAAUAUCUGGAGGUCAAGGAUUAGAAGUCGAGAAGUUUCUAAGCUUUGGAGUAGGGUAGGCGGUGAUGAAGAUUUGGAAGCCGCAGUCAAGAGUGAACCGUCGACAAUGUCAG